UACGUAGGGGACAAGCGUUGUCCGGAAUCAUUGGGCGUAAAGCGCGCGUAGGCGGCCCUGUAAGUCCGUUGUGAAAGUCAAAGGCUCAACCUUUGAAUGCCGAUGGAUACUGCAGGGCUAGAGUCCGGAAGAGGCGAGUGGAAUUCCUGGUGUAGCGGUGGAAUGCGCAGAUAUCAGGAGGAAUACCGAUAGCGAAGGCAGCUCGCUGGGACGUUACUGACGCUGAGGCGCGAAAGCGUGGGGAGCAAUCAGG
Molecule: ribosomal RNA, 253 nt
Filed under: uncultured bacterium
Lineage: Bacteria
Description: partial 16S ribosomal RNA
Rfam family: Bacterial small subunit ribosomal RNA
Source: RNAcentral